ACUCAGGAGAGUCUCUUAAAAAGAGCGCCGAAGGUGUACGCAGUGAUUCACUGUUAAUCUCUCAGGCAAAAGGAUGGAGGAAGAA
RNAcentral lists this non-coding RNA (85 nucleotides) under human gut metagenome. RNAcentral describes it as "Glycine riboswitch". It matches the Rfam family "Glycine riboswitch aptamer", at positions 9 to 86 of the family's 94-position model. Rfam says of the family: This family represents the bacterial glycine riboswitch. Glycine riboswitches usually consist of two metabolite-binding aptamers domains with similar structures in tandem. The record is from RNAcentral.